This 690-nucleotide ribosomal RNA is filed under the name uncultured diatom. RNAcentral's name for it is "SSU rRNA". It matches the Rfam family "Eukaryotic small subunit ribosomal RNA", at positions 458 to 1155 of the family's 1831-position model. The record is from RNAcentral. Lineage: Eukaryota; Bacillariophyta.
AGGGAGGUAGUGACAAUAAAUAACAGUGCCGGGCCUUUCUAGGUCUGGCAAUUGGAAUGAGAAAUAUUUAAAUCCCUUAUCGAGGAUCAACUGAAGGGCAAGUCUGGUGCCAGCAGCCGCGGUAAUUCCAGCUUCAGUAGCGUAUAUUAAAGUUGUUGCAGUUAAAAAGCUCGUAGUCGCAUUUCUGGAGAGAGGAACUGGUCCGACCUUACGGUGGGUUCUUGGUUCUCUCUCUCCGUCCUCGAGUGGCCCGUUCUGGUAUUAGGUUAUCGGAGCGUCCGCCGCUCAUCGUUUACUGUGAGAAAAUUAGAGUGUUCAAAGCAGGCUUAUGCCGUUGAAUAUAUUAGCAUGGAAUAAUGAGAUAGGACCUCGGUACUAUUUUGUUGGUUUGCGCACCAAGGUAAUGAUGAACAGGGACAGUUGGGGGUAUUUGUAUUUCGUUGUCAGAGGUGAAAUUCUUAGAUUUACGAAAGACAAACUACUGCGAAAGCAUUUACCAAGGAUGUUUUCAUUGAUCAAGAACGAAAGUAUGGGGAUCGAAGAUGAUUAGAUACCAUCGUAGUCUAUACCAUAAACUAUGCCGACUCAGGAUGGGCGGGUGUUGUAUGACCUCGUCUGCACUGUAUGAGAAAUCAAAGUCUUUGGGUUCCGGGGGGAGUAUGGUCGCAAGGCUGAAAUCCAUAUGACUAG